ACCAGGGUGGCGGAGCGGCAACGCGGCGGACUGCAGAUCCGCCGCACUCCGGUUCAAAUCCGGACCCUGGCU
RNAcentral lists this transfer RNA (72 nucleotides) under Methanolinea sp. RNAcentral's name for it is "tRNA-Cys". It matches the Rfam family "tRNA". From Rfam's summary of the family: Transfer RNA (tRNA) molecules are approximately 80 nucleotides in length. Their secondary structure includes four short double-helical elements and three loops (D, anti-codon, and T loops). Lineage: Archaea; Methanobacteriati; Methanobacteriota; Methanomicrobia; Methanomicrobiales; Methanoregulaceae. The record is from RNAcentral.